CAAGUUCAGGAGGACUGAAUUAACUGGAUGUUCUCAGGAUGAAAAAGAAAUUGCUGACUUUAAUUGAAUAAUCAUUAUCAUUAUAAUGUUAAAGGUUAAAAAUAUUGAACAUUCAAAAGGAUGCAGACAGAAAUUUGAAAGUAGGGCCUGAAUUUCAGGUUAAGUGAUCCAGGAAUGGGGUUGGCCCUCUGCAGGCUAAAUCAAUUGAGGGAGAUCCCUUUAUUUCAAGUUAAAUGAUUAUUUGAAUAAGAUGCCAUUCAGGCAAUAAGGGCCUGGUUAGGUCCAUAUUUUAAUUCAAAUUAUUAAGUAGUGAUGGGCGAUACCGAGUACUCGGUAUUCGAUACCAGCGAUACCACAAACAGCGGUAUCGGUAUCGAUUACUGACGUGGUAUCGUUCGAUACUUGCACCCUUUUAUAAACGACAUGUUUAAUUUCACUUCUUGUUUGAAUAAGACUUAAUGAACAACUAAAAUAACUGUUAAUAUUCCGAAUGUGGUGCGCCAAGUCAAGUAUAGAGUAUAUUUAUUACGUUUCGGACUUUUGGUUUACUUAUAGUUUUAUUUAGGUUACAUACAGUAAAGUAAAAUGUUUUUCCACUGACCGGCAAGUAUCGAAAAUAGCCAAUACUAGCAAUUUAAGUACUCACUUCCAGUAUCGAAAAUUGAAAUUAUGUGUUCAUUUUGGUAUCGAAAUAGGUAUCGGUAUCGGCCGAUACCGAUUUUAAAAGUAUCGGUAUCGGUAUCGAAUUAAAAAUCCUGGUAUCGCCCAUCACUAUUAUUAAGUACUCGAUUUAUCCAUCAACAAAACCCAACAUUAAAAUUUCCAUCGAGUGAGAUGCAACAAAACCAUCUAUAGUUUAUUAAUUAUGUUAACUUAAUCCAUCAAUUGGCAAUGAGCCUACUUUAGUAAUAAUUUUAUAUACUCCUGUAUCUCUAAUUUGCCCAUUAUAUUUAUAAACUGACAGUUAAUACUAUUACACUUUCACAUAUACUAAUAAAAUCAUCUGGGCCCGGUUGUUUGAAACCCGUGAAAGCCUUUGAACUACCGGCCCCAGAUGAUUUUAUUAGUCUGUGAAAGAUUAAUUAUUAACUGUCAGUUUAUAAAUAUAAUGGGCAAAUAUAUGAUUAUGUACAAAUUGCAUGCAUGGUUCAUAAAAUCUCUGUGAUAGACUUGCUCCAACAGAUUCAAAUUCCAUCCUGACAAUACCUAAAUAAUAAUUAUAGAGGUUGCAGUGUUGCACUACCUUUUGCUAAAAUACUGCCAUUGUUUACCAGUAUUUAAUAUGAACUCAAAAGUCAAAACACUUAACACUAUGAAGUAUUU
Molecule: non-coding RNA, 1323 nt
Organism: Paramuricea clavata
Lineage: Eukaryota; Metazoa; Cnidaria; Anthozoa; Malacalcyonacea; Plexauridae
Source: the annotation of a GenBank genome assembly